UGGGGCGUGUCGGUCCGCCAGAACACCGAUCAUAUCGGUGCAUCGUCCGAUACGGUUACCGUGAUGUUCAUCAGGACAUUGACUCUUUCGAAGAUGAGCUCAUCAACAGCCUAGCAUACUUCAUAAGGCUCGAUGCGUCUGACAGAACUUCGCAGUCUAGCGACUCGCCAUGCAGGAGUGAAUCCGAACUCACUAUUGUUCAGAGUUUCAGACAUUCUACUUGUUGUGAGAUAGAUGAUGCUAGCCGAGCGAUGAAUGUACCGCUGGAGUCCUCGAGCGUGGUAGAGAUGGAACCAAAAGGUCCAACAAAGAGAGUGAGGUUCUUCAUCGAGGAUAACGAUAAUUCAGAAUCGG
RNAcentral lists this unclassified non-coding RNA (354 nucleotides) under Hevea brasiliensis (rubber tree). Lineage: Eukaryota; Viridiplantae; Streptophyta; Magnoliopsida; Malpighiales; Euphorbiaceae. The record is from RNAcentral.